AGAGAACCCCUAAAGGAGAGGAAGUUGGCAUGAACACACCUCUCUAUGGGAACCAGGGAUGAAUUCCUCCUGCCAGAGGAGGCUGGGAGCGGAGAUGAUCCUGUCCCAGCCGUCUCCUCCGGAAUACAUUGUUUUCUGCAAAUUCUGCUCACAGCAAGGAAACUCAGCCCCUUGAGCCACUCCCCUCUGCCAAACAAUGCAGAUGGUGGGAAUUAAUGAAUUGAUGUCAAAGCUGGGUGAAGCAGAAGCUUGCCAGGAAGGAAAGUGCCAGACAGCCCAUGCACACCAUGCUGGCUUCCUAAGGGAAGCCCCCUUGGAGAGGAAGAUGGUCAGAAAUCACACAGACUACAUGAAGGACCAAAUUAGAGCUAGAGAGGCAUAGAGAGAAUAGAAGAUGUUUCAGACACCUCUGGGACACCACAUGAACGUUCCAUGUAUCCAAAGUUCUUGGUGUUAGCUUUUUUUCCAAUAUCCAGUAUAAUUAUUAAAUACCUGGUACCUUCAACCGCA
Molecule: long non-coding RNA, 510 nt
Organism: Neopsephotus bourkii (Bourke's parrot)
Lineage: Eukaryota; Metazoa; Chordata; Aves; Psittaciformes; Psittacidae
Exons: 2
Source: RefSeq, a predicted model, not a curated record